GCAGUCGCAGGCCCUGGUUUUCAUGGGGGACUUCAACCAUCCUGAUAUUUCCUGGAAGAGCAACACGGCAAGCCAUGCACAAUCCAGCAGGUUCCUGCAGAGCAUCGAGGACAAAUUUUUGAUGCAGAUGGUGGAGGAGCCAACAAAGUACUCAAUCCAUAAAUAACCUGAUCAGUACAGGAUGGAUCUGCAGGGAGCAACACUAAAAACAUGUAAAAUCAUGCCUGAAAUUCUAGUCUCGGUUAAAUCGUAGUCUCUUUUGACCAUGGUGUAAGCAAAAUCCAACAGAAGUUUUGAUGCCCUUCAGGAUCAGGACUUUCUUCAAGAGUAUUCCUUGCGUGUGAGUUAACCAUACGGUUCCUCCUAUAGAUAACUGGGCUUCCUUUAAACAGCAUUCUGUGUGAGGAAGGAGCAAAAGACCUGCUAAAAGAGGAUGUUAAAAGCAUUCAAAUCCUUCACUAUCAACCAUAAACAGAGCGUGGUGCACAGAUUAAAAAGACAGCAGGAAAGAGAGGAGUUAACUAUUUAAAACAACCAUGUUAAGUAAGACCUAAUUAGUGCUAAUCUGUGUUUCUUUUUUGCCCCAGGAGCAGUAAGUGUACACAGAAGAGGAAUUUUGGGGGAAGAAAGGUAGGAGAGGUCAGCCUACUAUUAACUGCGUCUUGUUUAGUUGGGUCACUGCAGUUGACCUCGUUCAAAUCUUUAAUUGACAUCUUGGUUUAAAAUCCAAGAUGGCAACACUAUGUAAGAUUUGUGCUCGCUCAGAGUCAUGCUGUUUUCAUUAGUCUCUCAUUCUUUAUCAGACAUGUAUUUCAUAUGCAGCUGGGCAUUUAGAUUUAGCUGUGUCAUUACCCAUAAGAAGAUGGGGUACGCCCAUUUCCAUUGAAUCUGAGGGGAAAUAGGAUUGUUCAGCAUCCUUGGGAGCAAGGGAAGAAAUCAAAAAGCAGGUGAUUAACUAAAAAAAAAAGCAAGAGUGAAACACCUGAAGUGCUGUGAAGAUGCUUCCCUGGACGAAGGUUUCUGAGAUUAUCCUGAAGUGCGGUAGGGCUUGGUGUUUCUGACCUGAGGCGUGCUGUGCCAGCUGACCCACCUGAGUUUCUGUCCUUCCGUCUUUAGUUUUUUGCUUUUCAACAGAAAGGUCUGACUGUGGUCGGCAAUGAAUCUAUUUGCAGAUCUUGCCAAAAAACCUCUCAGAAAUCCAAGUAUUUCCCUACAGAGGACGAAGUAAGGAGAAGGUAUUUUUGUGUUAAUUUCUCCUGAGGUUGCUCUGAAAUUUAUGGAAGAGGAGAAAACUGAAGUAAUAAGCUUUCCUCUAGGUGCCUCUGGAGGCAAUACUGAUGCAGGCUUAGUUUAAUCACCACGCCUGGGUAAACUAAUAUUCACUAAUCCACUCAAAAUUGUUUUUAAAGGAGGUGCACUUACAGGAUCCUCUCCCUGAAGACAAAGGAGUCUGAGGCACCCUCCACCCAACUGCCAUGAGUGAAGGGGUGCAAACUGGAGCAGGCUGGUAUCUGGAGAUCUCAGAGUCGAUGUCCCUUUUCCUCUCCCUGUCAGGAGAGUUUCCUAAUCCCUGGGAGUUCCCUUUGCAUGGGAAAUGAGGCUCUGCAUGGCUUUGGUUUAUGAACAAUCUGACAGAAUAAGUCAUCGGUAAUUUCAGGCUGAACUUCCCAACUGCACUCAUCUGUGCCCACGGCAGAGCCAGGAGAGGGGGCGGCGUGGUUAUUCACCCCCACAUAGUUAAAGAUGUUGCAGAGCUGCUUCAAGGCAUGUUGGCUACUCGCAGCUUGCAGGGAUUGGGGGGCCAGUUGACAAUGACCCAAGUGCCAUCCUGCAUUGGAUACACCUUCUCCAACUCCUCAUACCUGUUAGGCACCAGCUGUGGUCAUUAUUAUGCCAGAGGACCUCUCCUUUCCCUUUGUAUGUCCUGUCUCCUACAGCGGGAUUGCACCAAAUUUUUAAAAAAGUAAUCUUCUUGGAGGAAUAUUCUCAUAGCCUUUUCUGGAAAGGCAGUAUGUUUUUAAUAUCUGGUUUCCUAAAGAGUUAAGGUUCAUGUAGUCAUGCCAUGUCCGCCCAGCCAUUCCCCUUUCUGCCAAAAGUUUUGAACUGUCUGUCACCUUCAGCUGAAUUUCCCAGAGAGAUAGAAGUUUCAGCAGCUUCAGUCUUUAAGGAUUUUGAAAACCAUUAGCUGAAUAGAGGACUUCAGAGUUUCAUCAAAGUCUGACAUCUGCCAACCACCGAAAGCACCAUUCACAUGGCCCCUGACCAGUCACACCAUGUGUAGUUUCCUGGUGGGAGGGUAGAGGCAGAGAAGGGGCAAAACAUUUUGGUGGGGUCUGGAGGGGGGUGUGAGGGCAUGGGAAGGUAUUGCACAAGAGGGCACAGAGAACACAAGGAACCAGGCUUUGUUAGUCCUGCUGUUGAUGGAAGAUAAAGAAAAAAGACUGUAGAUAGGCUUUGAGGAUUAUCAACAUAUUUAUAUCACGAAGAGUUAUUUUAUAGUGCUGGGAUAUAAUCUUCUGUUGCUCUAGUGUUACUGUCAUCAAACCAGAGUAGGGCCUAGAGCUCCUAGAGGAGGUAGAAGUGGCAGUGUGCUCAGUGCUGUAUGGAUCCUUGCCCAGAGGUCUUUUACUCUGCAGAAACCCAGGGGAUGGAAGCCCCAGCCUGGAGUUCAAAUCUUUACUGACUGAUUUUGAAAUUGUUGUUAAUGCAUUUAUUUACAGAUCUGGAAAGAAUGAAGCACAAUUUUGAGUCUGAGUGUAUCCAAGUGUAUCUUGAGAAGACCUGAGCUGAAAGAAUUGGCCUUUGGAAAAGGAAUUGCUAUGAUCAUGGUGUUUGUCAGGGAUGCUUUUGGGUGAGAAGCUGGCAAAAUGUUGAGGUACUGAACCCUGUGGGGACGGAAUGUUUCUAGUCUGGUUGAAUGGAGAGUCCCAGCUGGGGACCAAACAUAAAGUGGUGCAGCACAGGUGCAAGUGCCAGCUGCUGGGGUGUGACCGGCCACAGGUACCCGGGCACCCAUGGUGCCAGCAACUGGAUCCAGCCUGGGUGUGUAUGUUGGUGUAAGCAAAUAUUGAGCUGGACUAGCUGGCUGGAAGGAUAAGAGGUCAGGGAACUGGGUAUGGAAAUGGCUGUAAGUCUGGGCUGGGUGUACAUGUGUCCUGUGCAUCGGGAAGCUGGAGGUGCUGGCAACCCAAGGGGUCCUGGCCAACUGGGUCUGCUGGGAGGCCUCUGUGUGUUUGUGUAUCUGCACAGGAGGCAACUGGAGGUGGGAGGAUCCAGUGCUAGCUGCUGGGCAGGCUAAGUGUCUGUGGGCAUCUGCUAGAAGGAUCCACACUGUAUUCAUACACGCUUUUUUUUCUUCCCACCACCCACAACAGAUCUUCACCCUGAUCAGGCUGAGAAGGGAACAGGACAAGGCUGUUGCUGCUGCAUGUGUUUGGGUGAAUACUGAGUGUUUCUGUACUGAUCUGUGUGGCUGGCUGUGUGUAUCUAUGUGUGUACAUGGUGUGUACAUACCUGUGUUUGUAUGUGUGCCUACUGGGAAUAUAUUCUCAGCUGUGCUAUGGGUUGGACCUGGGGGAGUGGAGUUGCAAUGGCAGUUCCUCUCUUGAGCUGCCGUAUCUGGGGACCCCUAACUAAACCCUGCUGACCCUGCUGGAGGGUACCCACAGGGUGCUGCAGCUCCUCACCUUUGGAUUUGGGCCAAAAUGGCUGUGUCUUAGUUGUGCAGCAGGAUGGCUCCAGAACAAAACCUGUGUCCCUUGCUCACGCAGAGUGAUGAGCGCAGAGGAAAUAUCCCUCCUGUGUGCCCAAAUCCCUCAUCUGUUUCCUUAACCCUUUCCCUACUCAUUGAUCCAUGUCAUUGCAAUGCAUGUAAGUAGAAUAUAUAGCUACGAUAAGCGUUUUCCUUUACACUUCUGAAAUACAAAACUCACCAAUUGUAUCAAUAAGUAAAAAUAAUCUACUUUUUGUCAGGAAUGAAUUUUUACAAAUGAUAAAGUGCUCUAGAAAUAUGGCUCCAGAUGGAAAUUCUGACCCCUCAUUGUUCCUCAUCUCAAAAGCCUUUCUAAUAUAAACCUACAACAAAGUGCAGAAGCGCCAGCAAUCUGUCUGUGGCAAUAAAUGAAAUUCAGGUGACAAAAUCAAAUACAAUUUCUUUCUUCAGAAUCGUAAGAUGAUAUGAUGGGUGCAGCAUGGUGGAGUCACUGUAACGUGCUACAAACUUAAAAGAUGAUGUGGGUGGCUUUGUUCAGGUCAUGCACUACUGAAAAAUAAAUACCAAUAAGCUUGUUUUCACCAGGUCUGAUCAGAUUUUAGAUUUCCAGCCGAAUCGCUAUGUAUACAUUGCUACCAAGGCUGACUCCAAACGUUAACACAAUGUAGCUAAAGUGAAAUCUGGCUGUGGGACAGAAUGGGAUGAAUUUGGAAACAGAUUGUAACUCACCUCUCCCCAUUCCUGCCCCCUCCCUUUUCAUUAACUGUUGCCCUUAUUUAUGCAGACAGGCAUCUUUCCCAAAGAAGCAGCAAAGUGAUAGCUUGCAGAAAAAUCAGUCUUGUGCUCUUUGAAUAUUUAUGCUUUUCUUAUGUAGUCUCUUAUAUCUGUAGUUUAGUGACUUUGGCCAGAUGCAUAAGUAGGACUACAUCUGUGUGUAGGAUUGUGCACAGCUGGAACCCUGCCAAGUAAAUAGGCAGGCAAAGGAGCCCCUCUCACUGAAACGCAGGAGGGGGCCGGGGGAGCUUGUGCUCAAACCCCUUGAUGUGAUGUGGGGCACCAGAUGACAGGGAGGAGGAGGAGCAGAGGAAGAGCUCACUCCCCAAAUAUGUGUCUUAUGAGCCAUGUGUUGGCUCCUGAAUGGUUUGGCUCAAAACCCUCAAAUAUGUGCAAUAUCAGCCCUAAAACCUUCCCAGGGCAGUGAUACGUGGGGGCUGGAUGGCUGGGUACUCCUGGCUGGCUGCACCACACUGCUUCCUGGGGUCUACUGCUGUCCCUGGUGUCACUCUGGUCACUUCAGCUACCUCUGUUCAGGACAAUCCAUUUUUUAGUUCGUACUCAGAACAAAUCCAGUGUUUCAGGCCUCACAGGGAUAAGGUACAGCUGACAGCAAGCUGCUGUCACCAGAGCAAUUAACUAAAAUUAAUUAAAUUAAUACAGAGCAAUUAGUGUUGCCACCUUGCUGAAGCCUCCUGUUGCGUGACCUGUCCAUGGCUGGGAUGUCCCCCACUUCCCUUGGGAAAAUAAUGCCUGGGAGCACAUUUCCCCUGCCAGAGUGACCUGAACUGAUGUGCUUGGUAAAGCAGAUGUAGGGAAGGAUGUCCUAUAGUCCCUGGGGUUAUUGGUGGGUGAAAAAUUGGACAGGAGCUGGCAAUGUGCACUUGCAGCCCAGAAAGCCAACUGUAUCCUGGGCUGCAUCAAAAGCAGUGUGGCCAGCAGGUCAAGGGAGGUGAUUCUGCCCCUCUGCUCCGCUCUGGUGAGACCCCACCUGCAGUGCUGCAUCCAGCUCUGGAGCCCUCGGCACAGGAAGAACACGGAACUGUUGGAGCGGGUCCAGAGGAGGGACACAAAAAUGAUCCGAAGGCUGGAGCACCGCUCCUAUGAGGACAGGCUGAGAGAGUUGGGGUUGAGAGAGUUGAGAGAGUUGAGAAGAGAAGGCUGUGGGGCGACCUUAUUGCAGCCUUCUGGUACUUAAAGGGAGCUUAUAAGAAAGACAGAGAAAGUCUUUACCAGGGCCUAUAGUGACAGGACAAGGGGUCAUGGUUUUAAACUGAAAGAGGUUUAGAUUGGACAUAAGGAAAAACCUUUUUAUGGUGAGGGCAGUGAGACACUGGAACAGGUGUCCAGAGAAGUUGUGGAUGUCCCAUCACUGGAAGUGUUCAAAGUCAGAUUGGACGGGGCUUUGAGCAAUCCAAUCUAGUGAAAGAUGUCCCUGCCCAAGGCAAGGAGGAUUGGUCUAGAUGACCUUUAAAUGUCCCUUCCAACCCAAACCAUUCUAUGAAUCUAAGAUGGGAGAUAAAAAACACUACUAUGUAAAAUGCAGCCCCCCAGCAGCCUGGUGAGGCAGGGGCUUGUUUUGCAGAGGUAGGAAGGGGCUGAUGGCUUGCUCAGGGCUUGGGCUGGCUGUGUCACACCCUCCAGGCUGGCAGGUAUGGCUGCUGAGUGAGAUCUGCCCCAUGAUGAAACGGCAAGUGGACCUCAGUGACCAUAAGCAUGUGGUGCCUGUUUGUGUUGCAGCUGGACUUCCUGCCCUGCCUGCAGGCCAGUUGCUGCCAUCUGCACUUGUUAGUCUGAAGUGUUUCUACAGCAUUCCCCACAGGAAGAAAACAUGCAAAAGCUUUCCUAGAAAAGGAAGGGAGGGAGAUCAAAGAGCAAGGGAUGAAACUCACUCUGGCUGGCCAGUUCAGCCCUGCAGUGGAGACCUGCCCUGAAAAAGGAAUGAGGUAAUAUAACCAGCUAAACCCAACCAACUAAGGUUGUGAAGUUCUAUGUUCAGGCUGCAACUUUGAUUUUCAAAUGUUUGUUGGGGCGCUUGGGGAGAAGGGGAGUGAAGAGAGAUGCUAGAGCUGCAGCUGCCUGGCUCUCAGAAGACAACACUGAUUUAAGCAUUUUCCGUCUUCAGUGCAGAUUGUUUGUAUUUUCCCUAACAUGACCGUAUUAUAUAUACAAGGAUAUACACUGUAUUUUAAGGACACAUAUCUCUGAGGAGGAUUAAAAAGGCAUUUACUUAACAAAUCGUGCCUGUUUCUCAAGUAAAUCUCUGAUCUAAGGCAAGGAACCAUACAUAUUUAGACUUGGAAGUUGUUUCUGUGUAUGAUUAACACAGAUUUCUAAUGUAUAUGGUAUUGCUUCUCCUGCUAGCCACAACUUGCUUCAUAACUUACAAGGGAAAUUUCAGUGCUGUCUAUUGAACUGUGACGGAGACAAAGGGAAUUUUAGAGGACAAAUGAAGGAUGCUCUUGAAAACCAGGGAUGUUAAUUGGUACUCUGCUUUGUAUUGAUCUCACUCGUCUGCUUCUGAAUUUGACUGAGGUUCUGCAACCCCAACGCAGGCAGAUUGCCAUUAAAGAGUUUUUGUCUGCAUUAACCCAGCAGUAUUAAACCCUCUGUGGUUCUGGUAUCCACCUUCCUUUUCUUUUCCUUUUCCCACCAGAGAUGCCCAUCUAGCAGAUUUUCUGUAACCCCAUACCCUGCCCUAAAAUCACAGGAAUUUGCACAUCCAACUGGUCUAUUAAAAAUUGUCCGGCAGUCCCUGAAAAAAACACCCAUAUGGCUUGCAAAGCAUUGCUUAGUCUUUUUGCACUCUUAUGUUUCAUUCUGUGGAAUUGCUGAUAGUGUGGUAGCUUCAAGUUUCUCCACAUUAAUUGCAAUGAUAUUUUUCAGUCUUUUCCUGCCAAGGAAGCUGCUGGCUUUCGAUCAGAAAUCACAUGUGUGCUAGAGAGAAGAAGUGGAUUGCUGUCAGGUGGCUCCUGUCUGUUUUGCCAUGGAGGGAAGGGUGAGGUACAUGACACAGGGCUUCUGUGACUGGGGAAAAUAUCUAAGAUACACAAGGUAUAUGAAAGUAAGUGGUAAAUAGGGGCUGAAAACCCCGAUAACCAAACCCAGGGGCCCCUGUUUAUAUAAUAUUGGACUUGAAUCAAGCAGACAUUGUUUCUAUUCCUGGACUCAGUGCUGAGCUGAGACUACCGUAGAUUGCCCACCCACCUGCGCCUCAGUGUCCCCAUGUGUGAAUGGGAGAUAAAGAUGCCAGACUCCUUUAUAAAAUGCUUUGGGACCUGCUGAUGAAAAGCAGUCAGCAUUAUGUGAACAUGAAAUGCCUUGUUUGCCAUGAUGUGGUAUCUUAUACAUUAAAAAUUGUAUCUGCGGAGUGAAAAGGCACUAAUAUAUAUGUAAUAAAUAGGUGAAGAACCAGUCAGAGAUAAGCAAAGAAGAACAUAGCUCCCACUAGCUUGGCUGAAAAGAAGCAUCACAUGCAGCCUGUUGGAGCACAGCCUGCACACCAGAUGAAUUACGGAUACAGAGAUGUGCGGAGGGGCCAUUCAACAGGGACAGCCAAGCCUUUCUGCAGAUGGAGGAAGACCCAUGCUGAGGGUUGUCACGUCUUUCCCUAGGAGAUUUUGGGUACAAAGAUGCCCACAUGUGCAACGUAAUGCCUCCUCAGUAGCCCCCAGGUUUCUGGAAAGCCAGGAGUGUAUUGUGCAAGUGUUGUGCAGAUGGUGUUCAUCUGCUGAGUGCACACAGUGCCACCAGCAAGCAUUGGACCUAUGGCACAGCCAUGCAGCGAUUCUGUGCCCACACAUGGGAAGGGCUGCGCUUAUCAAGCACACAGUACAUGUCUGGACAGCUCGUGCACUCCAGGGAGGCCCAAAAUUCCCAGAUAUAGCUGCCAUGCAGAAACACCAACUGGUCUGCCAGAUGACCUGGCAAGACGGUCCUGGAUAAAGGCAAAAGCCUCCCUCAAAUGCUGAUUUGGCAUGGCAUCCAUACAAAGGCAGCAGGAGACAUCCAGGGACCAUAUCUGUGCCCCAGCCAGGACUGCUUUUCUCCUCCUGCACUUAUUUGGUUGUUGGUACCCUCUGGGUACCUCCACCCAUGUGGAAAACACACUGUUUCGAGCUUCACAGCCAGGUGAAAGACUGAUGGGGUUUUGCUUCAUGGCUAAACAUCUGCCAGGGGAUUUGAGAGAUUUCUGGGUUUGUGAGCUUUUCCUCAGUUGGGAGGGCUGAAAGGUUGCCACGUUGGGGCUCACAGUUUCCCACAGGGGUACAAUGCAGCCGUUGCACAGCCCUCGUGCUGCCACCAGCACACCACUGCCUGACCUGUUCUUGAAGGGGCCUGAACCCUGGUCCUCUCUUUGCCUCUCAGUAACCUCGGCUGUUGCAAAGAGCUGGGUUUUUAUUUCAGUGGGAAGGGAGGAGAGCGGUCACCAGGCGCGAGGUUGUCUCCAGCUCCUUUGCUCUUCCCCACACGCAGGUGUUGAGGGGAGCUCAUUGCAGAUCAAAGGAAGAGGAAUACUUCAGGGAGGGGAGGUUACCAAAAUGCCCUGCAGUCCAGCUCACUGGCAACAAAUCACUUCUUUCCUGGGGGAUUUGCAGGGAGCCCAGCUUUCUUUGAAAGGGAGGUUUGACAGGACUUGUGUGAUGGAUAGUGUGAAAAGUUUCCAGUGAGCAAUUAAAAAGAGGCAGGGGUGGGGGGCGAAGAAGGACACUCUUAGCAUUUUUCCGUGACUAUUUGGGUAACUGGAAGAGCUACUUGUGAAACUUUGAAGCAACAGUGAAUUCUUGGAGGGAGAGAAGAUGCCCCAAACACUACAUUUCUGACAAAACCUGAGUUUUUCUCCCUGCAAACAUAAAGUGAGCAAAUGCCAGACCAGUCAUGCAAGUAACAGUUCAGUGCUUGUUUUAUGCCACCUCUUUUGGUGACCUAUUGUAAACAGAAUUUUUUUUCAAGUUCCUUACUUCCCCUGUCUUACUUGACAUUUCUUUUGAACUUCAUCUUCCUUUUCUAAGGCAGCAAAUUCUGCUUCUCUCUUCUCUCUAUCUCUCCCCUUCCCUUGCAUUUUCUGUGAAGAGCACAGACAUUUCCUCCACAUAUUGAUCCUGAGACACUAAUUUCUGUUUUGUCUCAGGUAAUUCAGCAGGCUUGGAUAAUUAAAAGGUAAUGACUGUAUCUCUUCUCCUAUUCAGAGAUUUUUCUAUACCAGUAUAUUGGGCACAGCAAAGCUCUCCCAACCUUGAAGAUGAACCGAGUGUCAAAAAAUUUAUCCAUUUGAAUGAGGCUUUUAGAACUCAGUUGAAGGACUGCUAAACAGUUACAGGCACAGAAACUGGCAAGAUCACAUUUUGCCAUGCAAGCUGCAGUUUGAUCAAUGUGGCAGUUAUUUGACAGGAAAUUAGGAGAGAGUUUUGAGAGUCAUGAGAGGAAAUUAGGCCAUCUUAUGCUUUUAAAACUCUUUAAAACUCAGUGGUAAUCCUCCUCCCCUGGAGGUUUACGAGCAUGCAGGCAACUUCUGUAUUUAAUCAAGAAAUCGAGCACAGCACAAAGGCUGAAAAUGUUUUCCAGGGGCAGUGGGACAGACCAGAAAUCUUAGUUUCUGGAAAUCUUGACCUCAGCAUCUUGGUUUGCAUACUCCAAAUACUCAGUCAUGUAUCUUGCUUUAUCCAGUGCUGAGGUCUAAUUUAGAAGCACUCUACAGCAUCAAGUGCUGAACCUGGCCUGACUGGCACCUCUGGAAGUUUCCUGGACCUCAUAGGAAUCUCUCAGUAGGUUGGACUGUCUAUCCAGAAUGAAUCUUGGUUCUCUCCAGCAGAAGAAACUAGCCAAUGUGUCUGAACUACGUGGAAAAGAAGGUCCCAUGGAAUGAAUCAUCUAUAUCCCCUGGUGGAAGCAGGGUGGUUCCAAUCAAUGCAUUACAAAAAACCAAGGGAAACCUCUUUCCUGUGAACGAUCAACAUAAGCCGGCUGUGCAACAAGUCUAAUUCAAGAGGAGUAAACUUGGAGUCAGUCAGCAGUGUUGAGGAUGCCUUGGAAGCUUCUUGGUGUUAAUGAAGGUUUCACUGGGAUUUUAAGACUUUAAAAUUGUGCUUUUCUGCCAGACGUGGGAAUGCAAAAUUAUUGCAGAUGCAAUAACUAUAGCCCAGUGGAGAGGUUUUGGGCUGGAACACAGAAGAUCUGGUUUCUGUUUUGGGAUGUGCUGAUUGUGACAUGGGAAAAUACUCUGUGCUAGAUUUAGGACAGUUUAAUAUUUUUGGCAGUCACAAAACCCAGUUUUAUCCUUCUGUGCUCUCAACCUUUCCACACACUUAGCUUUCCAAUGGUUGAGUCCCCAGGGCCAAAGCUUUUUAACCUCCAGUCUGGAAACUACUAACUGUAAAAUAACAGAAGGUGAUCUGUGGAAGCACCGUGAUUUAAAAACAAAAUGAAAUUAUUACCAAUGACAGCAUGAACAGACAGAAUGGGGACAAUACAAGUACAGAACAUCCCUAACUGUAUUUGGUUGCAAAUAAAAGCUACUGUGGUGACUCCACAAAAUAGCCUUUUGAUUUGUUUCCCAAAAGAUGUAAGUUGCUCUGGGUAUGAGAAGCAUCACUUUCAAUGAAUGGCUUUUUGCUGCUGUCUGUGCAGACAAAGAUACACACCUCGACAAGGUGUCUCAUGUUUAAAUGCCAUCAUGGUGCCCAAACUGGUGCUUCCCAACCUGUUCAGCAUCUGGAGUCAAAGUUUAUCUCACGUACCCCCCCAGCAAAUCUGGAGGUGACUGGUAUUUUCCCUCUUAUGCAUGAACUCUGCAGUUACGGCCGUAGUUCAAGCUGUAGAAGAAUCAAAUUCAACCCUCCCAUCUGCCCUGAGGGAAUGUGAAAUCUUAUACCCCACCUUUUGGGAGGUUGUUCUUCCAUUCAGGUCCCUGGCAGCUCUCAGCCUCUCCCUCCCAGUGGAGCACUCCUGCUCCCUAUGGAGUAUUUCCAUGUUGCCUAAGCCAGCUAUGACCUUGCAGCUCACAUGAGAGAGCGCUUGAUUGUGAGGAGGAUGGGAGACCCGAGGUCCAGUCUUUGCUCAAAUUAAAAGCUCAGUGUUUUAGUCAGAUGUUUGCUAACAAGGAUUUAAAAAAGGGCAGAGCACUGAAAUGGGGAGCCAAGGCCGUAAGUUAACUCCUGGAAUAACUGCUUAUUGAAGUGAUGACCAAGCUUUUUUCACUUGGAGCCUUUAUUGCAAGUGGGGAAAAUGUAUUUCCUUUAUUUCAGUUUCUUCAUUUUAGCUUGGUCAACUUGUUCAUUAGAAAUAAGAAAUUAAUUACAAGUUAAAAAAACUGGAAAUUUCUUUUUCCUAGCCACCAGCCUAUGAAUAAGCUGAGACACCAGGGCUGAGAUCUACUUGUUCUAGGCUGUUUAAGCACUGGUUAAGAGUUAUUUAAUGAACAUGAUUUUUCUUUGCUUAAUAAUUCAGUUAACUUUAAACACAAAAUGUGUUUUGACACCUUCUUCUCUCACAUCUAAAUAACUUAAUGUGACUUUAUUUGAUAAUGAAAACCAGUACUGUCUUUUUGUAUGUUAUUUAUUGUAGCCUAAUUUCUACCCAAAGGCACUUCAGCAUAUCUCCAAAGAAAAAAAUUGAAUUACCUAGUAAGUACAAAAUCUAAUUUGCCAUUUUCCUGAUAUAAUAAAAAGUAAAAAUUAAGCAUUUGAAUAAAAACUUCAGUUUAAGUAUUUGAAUGUAUACAUAUCAUAAUCUAAGUUAGCAAAACAAGGAAGUAUGAAAUACAGCAAAAGGCUUCAGGUGCUAUGGAAGAAAUCUCAGUGGUUACCAACUACUACGCAUCAACUUUCUUUGGAAAAAUGAUUAAAUACAAAUGUAUUUAAAUAAAAAUGUAAAAUUAAACCCCCAAUAACUUUAACCAAGGUCACUUGCUUUCUCCUUCAAGUGACAAUUAAAAUAAAUUGUUUAAAUCCCACGCAUAUGAACCGCUCCACCCAGCUCAUUUUUCACAACAGGAGGUAGCAAGUUUUCUGUGCCUCUGUGGUCACGAGAGAGAGGAGGAGGGAGGCACACUGCUAACCCUGUCGCUGCCGGCUGCCGUUUCAGUUCACCUCUGCUCACUCCCAGCCCUCCCUCACAAAGGGCUUCCAGCAAAUGUACUUUUUGCCUCAUGUUUCUCUGUACUGCCUUUCUGAGGAGCAAGGCACUUGUGUUUUCUGCCUGGCCUUUCCCCUCUCCAAACACCCAUCUCUCUACCCUUGUCUUGUCCCAUUUAUGUCCCCCACAGAUCUCUCGUGGUGGAGGAUACCUCUGAAACCAUCAGGUGUGACCAGAAACUCUUGGAAGAGCCCAAGAUUUCCAUGGUGCAACAAGUCACAACACAUGAGGCUUUUAGGGCAUGCAGGGAAAUGGGAACUACUGCAUCUGAAGGGAGAGAACCAGAGAGCUGCAGUUUGGCAUCCUGGAAAGUCAGGAGAUGAAAAGCGAAGCAGCCUUGAUGCAUCAGUUCAGCCCAGGGAAAGAGAUGCUAUUUACUAUGGUGCUUGUUACUCAUCUGCUCCCGCCCUCCUUUCUGUCUGACUCUCAGAGUUGUUCCAGCAUUACAUGUCCCACCCACAUUUUGUACUAAACCAGUCCAGUCCAACCUCCCUGGAUGCCUGUGGGAGAGUUUCAAAAUCCCACCACACCACUCACUGCAAUUAUACCUUAUUCCAGGAAUAGGAAGGACUUGAUCUCCAUGGCAUUUCCAAGGGCAGCCCAGUCCUUCUGCUGGGAUGCUGCUGUGUGUGCAGGUUAUCAAAUUCCCUGAUCCCAGCUGUUGCCUCUGAAUUAUUCUGAGACUCUUUAGCAUUGCUUUUGGGUUGUUUUUUGGUUGUUUGGUUGUUUUUGGUUUUUUUUUCAAAAUAAACAUGCUGAAUGCAGCAUGCUUGUAACCCUCAAUAUUCAGAUCAAAUAUCACUGCCUGGGGGAUAAAGAGAAAUAGGAGAUGACAUUGGGGGCUGAUAAAAUUUGUUAGCAACUGCUUAGCUUUACUACAAGUCUGAUGUGGGGGAAUGGACUCAAGGCAGGUUUGUCUGCCUUGAAUGAAAGGCAUAAUGGCAGGUUUGCAAAGCCUUGUGACUGUGCUUAUUUGCAGAGUUUAACGCAUAGAAGAGCAGGAUUUGCAUCCACAUGAGACUGCUUUGAAUCUAGGCUUAGGGCGUUUGGUGUGGGAAGAGUUAAUAUUUCCUCCUCCUUAAUUGUCAUGAAAAUGAGUCACAGUUUAAUUCUGGGCCAUUUUCUAUGCCAGAUGAAUGGCACAGAGAUUCUUUGCUCAGAGAUCUGAAAGGACAAAAACAAGGUGAAGAUGAGAACAUCACAUUCCAACACUCAAAUCACAGAGCUUCUUCUUCCCUUGACUGGGACCUGAAAUUCCUGCAGUUUUUCAAGUGUGAAAUGAAUGAAAGAAAAUGCAAGCAUCUCUCAUUUCAAGAUGUGCAUGAUUUCAUGGCAAGCGCUUCAUGCUUAUUUUUGACUUGCCUUUGAGCCUUGCCCAAUCACAAUGUUUACUACAUUUAAAACUAUUUCUCUGCGGAAUCAAAUCCGGUUAAGGCUAAAGUCUGAGGGUAAAUGCUCUAACCCUGGAUUUAUAAAAUGGUUUGUAAAUGUGAUUAAAGCCAGCCUAGCUUUUCAUGCUAAAUAAUAGAAAUUAUGCGUCUGACAGAGAUAUUUAGCUGAACGUUGCCAGUGAUUGCAUUGCUGUGUUCAGCACCCUCCUUUGUCUUGUCUCUUGUUAGAACAAUAGGAGCACAGUCAUACAUUUUACAGUGUCCCACAUAGAGUAUAUGUGGGACACAGUCCAAUGUGUACUGCAUUAGAUUUGUGAUUCCAUAAUGCCCUUAAUAAAGCUGCCCUACUUUCUUUGUUGCCAUGCUUUUCUAAUAUUAGAAGUGCUGAGUGCUAUGGCAUAGCCUCAUUAAUAUUAAAAAAAAUAUUCUCCUAUUACUAAGCAAUCCUCAUUCAUCCACUUUUGGUCAUUUGUCCUACCUUGAAAGGUGAUGUGUCCUUAAACAUCGGAAAGGCACGCAUGCAUCUGGAACGCUAUCCUGUGCAUUAUGAGUGAGAUGUGUGGCAACUGGAAGCUCCCUGCUUCAGCCCUCACUCUUAAGAGAAACCAUGAAGUCCUUUCACAGGGGUUUAUUUAAUAAAAGGCAGUUGCUGCACCAGUUCCUAAAAUACUGGCUAUCUGUGUUAUUCCUAAUGAUUAAUGCCUUCAGCCUGAUGAUGAUUUUAUAUAUAUAUAUAUAUAUGUAUAUCUUUGUUGUCUGAGCUGUUAAAAUACUUCUGAAGAAACAUUCUCCUCUUAAAUGAAGUUCUUUUGAAAGAGCGUAUUUUCAUUUCAAGAGGAAGAUUAAGCCUUGCUUAAAUAUUAACAGGAAUCUCUGGUGUGGAAAUUAUCUGUUUAUCUUGAGUUGGGAGUCAGUCUCUAGCUGUUAUGAUUUCAAAGAACAUCUCAAACAUGUAACCUCAUUAAAACCGGUGCCCAGUUGCCUGCCUUGGUUUGCAGAUUUCAUGACAGCGCCGCUCUCUCCUAUUCAUUUUGAUGGUGACGAUUCAGGCCUGGACACCAGGUAUCAUUGACUUUUACCGUGUUCCUUCAGGCACACCAAGGGAGGACCUGUUCUGAAUGCCAGCAGGCAUGGGCAAGUCAGAGGAGGAAGGGGAAGCAAUUAAGCCUGAUUUCAAGAAGGAAGUCUCCAGCUUUGAAAAAGCCAAGAAAAACCUUUGGCUCUUAGGAGGGAGAGAAUUAAAAAAACAUCUGAUUGUUUCUUUGUUAUAAGGAAACCAGUGCUGCAAGUUUCCGAUCCCCUGAAGCACUUGACAGCAUAUCCUCCUUGCCCCGCUGGAUGGGGACCUGGGGGAUCCCAGGGAUGGACUGGCCUUCCUGCUCUGACUGGGAGACGUUACUGCUUUCCUGACAACAAAAAUGCCCACCUUCUUCACUACUGACAUUAUACAGGUUCAGUACUCACCUGGAUUGAGAAAGAACCUCCAGAAAGAACCAAAAAAUAAUGGUUUUACUAUUACGGAUAGAGGAGAAUUUGCAAAAAGCCAGUAGCCUAGAAACUGGACUGGACUGAAUUUACCCAUCGUGCAAAUAAAGAACACAUGGCUGACCAUUAUUGAUUUAAUGAAGCAAGGUCACAGAGCAGGUAUUGCAAGCCAGACUUCAACAUGAUCGCAUCAGUACAGUUGGCAAAUCUAAAGCCUGAGAUUUAACAGCGUUACAGUCCUAAAGAGCAUGAUUUUAAAGGAGCAAUGGCUGUGCAGAAGCACACUAAUGCCUGAAAGUGACCGGCAAUAACCCUGUUUGUGCUACUGGCGUAGACCUAACUAAUGCUCUUUUUCUCAUUUGGUUUUUUUUUUUUCCCCCUCAAUGCAUAGAAAAGGAAGACUUGCUGACUUGCAUUUAUUUGUUCAGAUUUAAAAUAAUCACAGUACCAAUCCAGAGCUCCAAAUGCAUGUGCCAUAAUUUCAAAAUCAAAGUGGAAGCAAAUGAGGAAGGCUGCCUAUGAUCAUAGGAUCAUACUUCAGGCUGACAGGGACCUCAGUAAGUAAUGCAGUAAAUACCACUCAGUAGUGCCUCUCAGGGAAAAAGAAGGGUGGCAUUUUAAUGUGCCCAGGAAGCUAACAAAUCUGGUUUCGGACAGAUCAUAGGAAAAGUGCAAGUCUCUACAUUAGAAGGGAACGCUCUCCAGAAGCAGUUAGCUGGGUUCAUCUAUUCCCAGGAAACAGAUACUCCUGGGACUCGGUAUCUUCUUACUGCACACAGGACAUGGCCUUGUCGCAACUGGUAGGCAGAAAUUCCUGCUUACCCUGCCUGAAUCACUGAGCCUUUGUCAAACAGCAGCAGGUUUUCCGUUGUGAAAUGUAAUUGAUUCGCAGUAUCCUGGAAGGCUGUGCAAAUCUGCAGUAUUUCACAUAUCUGACAUUUAAAAAUUAUUCAUGCAAUAGAUAUAUUUUCCUUUAAAACCUAUUCCAUACCUGCCUCUGUUAGGGCUUCUUGCAAGUUAUGUUGAAGCCCCAGCUGCUUUCAGAGAGAGGACACUUGAGGAGGGGGGUGACUGGCUCCAGCACGGAGCAGUCUUGUGCUACAUUCCCAUGUAAAAGGGGGUUUCUACAAACUGAACCCUUUCAAAACCUACGCUGUAUGAGCAGACUUAGAAGUCUGGAAAUCACAUGUGCUCGCUUUCAUGCACUCCUGCAUGACUAAUAAAGUGAUGAUUCUCUGUUAUUUUCAUCUUAAAGUAACAUCUCAGCUGCCCUACAAGCCAUGUGCAAUGUUCUAUUGCUAAAAUAAUAAUCACUUCGGCAGUGCAUUACAGCUAUUUGCACAGCACUUAACAAGGGCGAUAUGACACAAACUACUGCUUAGGCUCAAAACCGUUUUUCAGAAUUAAGAAUUUCUCUAUGACUCAUGCAUUCUUUUUUUUUUUCCCCUCAGCAUAGUACCAAUAUGAGAAUCCCCUUCUCCAUGGGUCUACUUACAUAUUUCAGCAACCAUGGAUUUGCUAAGGUGGCUUAGUAAGCUCUAGCUACUUCUGCCCAGUCCAUUGCAUUUGUCAAGGGUCUUUGGAGGCCUGGCAGGAGCCCAGGCAGAGCAGAAAAUGGCCAAGGCACAGGUACAGAAAGCUAAAUUUAUUGUGGUCAGGAAUCCUGCCUCCUGUGCAGAUCCAACACCUGCUGUUGUGUUCCAGGUAUGUCUCAGGUGUGUCUGAUUUGCUGAAGGCAUGUCAGGGAUUUCAUCUGCAGGUGCGUAGCGUGCAACACAUCUGUUGAUUCAGUGCUGGCAUGUGUGCUGCCUGGUGCAUACACCCAUGUUUUGGUCAGGAGAGAAUGACUGAUGAAGCUUUAAGCACAUAUUACACCUUCAUAGGGCAUGGUUGUACCCAUGCAGAUAUGCACUCAUUCCUUCCUUUCAUUAAGGGAUUCCAUGUCCAUGUUUGCUAACAGGUUAUCUACCUGCUUUCUCACCUUAUUGAACUGCGACUGACAGGAGCUUAGGAAAGCCAGCUAGCCCAAAAUUGUGUCUACCAGAUGAGUGCCCCAUUUCAGGUGCCUACUUGCUCUCAAGCACCCCAGAAAUGCAGAUCCAACAGAGGACAUGGUGCUUUUUUUAUCUGAGCCCCAUUUCUCCACUUGUGAUGUGGGAAUACAUACACUUGUCUUCCUUUGUAGGAUGUCCAUAUUGUCAGAGAGUGGAAACUGUACUUAUUUAGGUCCUUCUCCAUGCCUUAGUAAAGAGAGCACCAACGCCUUCAGAAGUAUCUUGUUAGUGAUGUACUUUCUUAAAGCCUCACUGGCUUCCUUUCAGUCCAUCCACUCUUGGCAUACACAUCUUCUAAAGAAAGGGUCUGGAAACUGGGAAAGAAUAAACCCAGAAAAUGUGCUGAACAGGCUCAGAGAGUCCAGGUACAGGCAUAAUUCCUAUUGACCAGAACGGAGAACGGCAAAAUGUAUUAUGAACCCUUUGCUAGCACACGUGGUCUACUACUCGCUGUUGCACUUCGGACCCUUUAAUACCACAAACAUUAAAGCAGUUCCUGCCUUUAGAUCCCAGAGCAAGAACUUCUGUGGGUUGUCUCAGUGGAAAUGCACUCAAAGAGACACUAAAAUGAAGCGUAUGGCUCUCUUCAAGAACAAAUUCCUGCCGGCCUGAGAAACUGCCAAUUGUGUGGCAUCAGAUGUAGAAAAGGACUUGAGCAACUCAGCUCACACAUCCAUUCUUGUGCUGCAUACUAAAGCUGUGGAUGAGUCAGUACAGCUGAGUGGGAGAACCAGACAGGUCUGAAUCACCACUUUUUUCUUGACUGUGAAGCAUUAUUAUUUCCAUGCAAAUAAUUUCAAAUCUCAAAGCCAUAGAAGAAGCCCAGUAGCAGUGAUCGCAAACCUCAUACCCCAGGAGGAGCCAACUGGUUAAUGAGAAUUCACAGCCACUUCAUGUUUGAAGACACUGAUUUAUGUAAAAGGAAAUUAACUGAUUAAUCUUAAAAUCCUGGAACUUGAGAAGUACUUGGAGGGACAGUAAGCUCUGUUUCAGGAUUUUGCUGAAGCUAUGUAUUAUUCAGCUCUUUCCAUCGUUAUUCAGACUGAUAUAUGAGAGGUUUGAGAAAUGCAGCUGUGGAGUCUGACAGGAUAAAUGUUUAAAAAGUCUGAAAAAGAACAGGUUUUCUUUUAAGUACAGAGAAGUAAGAAAGAGACAGUGUGGGAUCCUGGUACUCUAUCAGGCAGAUCUUCAUCUUUUGGUUGCGUUCAGCAGGCUUUAGAUAGAAACCUCUGCAGUAUGUGGGAAGACACCUUCACACAUUUGGAAAAUAGAUUGAGGACUUCUAUCUGCUAAGUGUUAUCUGUAUCUGGAUAAGUGUUAUCUGUGACCUUUCUGUGUUUUACUUAUGCCAACAGAUAACAAGCAUUUGCACGUUGUGUAAGCUUGAUUGAUUCUUUCAUACCUGUUAUACAUCCUUUUAUGUCUAGCACUUUCAACUUACUAGCUGCUUUAAUAAUAAUAAAACUAAAUACCAAGCUAAAUAAAAAAUAAAUGAAAAUAAUAAAAAAAGUUUAAAAAUCAAGGAUUUUUUACUUUUAUAAUCUCAACAUUUAUUUAAGAAGAAACCAAUAUAGUUCUACAGAAAGAACUUCAUACAACAUAUGAAAUCCAACCGAGAAGACAGUUUCAAAUCUCUGCAAACAACUCUAUCAGAAUUCUCUAGAAGAGCUAUUAGGUUGUGAGUUCUCAGAUAAAGUCGGUGAUGUACCUAUAUGUACCUUGUAUGGUAUGAUGGCCCGGAGCUGCAAAACUCAACUGAAAUGUGUAAAAGGAAUAGAAUUGUGAGUGCAACACUUUUACUAGUUUUUUGCUGGUUGCUUUCAUUUACAGAAUUUAGAAACAGAAAAAGGAUGUAUGAGCCUAUUAUGUUUUUUCCUACGUGCAACUUUAUGCUAAUUACUUAUUUCAGGCUAAGAAAAACAUCAAGAAAGAACAAAAUUAUUGUCUCUGUCAGAGAAAUCUGUGAGAGUGUGUGCGUGUGUCUUCCUUGAAGGAAGGUUUGGCAACCUUAAGAACAAAACGCAAGCUCUCUUGACAAGGCUGGCAAGCUUAGAAGUGGGAAGAUGUAAUAUACAGAACACAGGAGGCUUCGUAGCUCAAUACACACAGCCCGGGGAACCUUGGUCCCAGUUAGACACGUCUUCAAAGCAAAGCGCUCUGCUGCUGCCUUAACCUUUUUU
Molecule: non-coding RNA, 19729 nt
Organism: Phalacrocorax carbo (great cormorant)
Lineage: Eukaryota; Metazoa; Chordata; Aves; Suliformes; Phalacrocoracidae
Source: RefSeq, a predicted model, not a curated record